CCUACGGGUGGCUGCAGUGGGGAAUAUUGCACAAUGGGCGCAAGCCUGAUGCAGCCAUGCCGCGUGUGUGAAGAAGGCCUUCGGGUUGUAAAGCACUUUCAGCGGGGAGGAAGGCGUUAAGGUUAAUAACCUUGUCGAUUGACGUUACCCGCAGAAGAAGCACCGGCUAACUCCGUGCCAGCAGCCGCGGUAAUACGGAGGGUGCAAGCGUUAAUCGGAAUUACUGGGCGCAAAGCGCACGCAGGCGGUCUGUCAAGUCGGAUGUGAAAUCCCCGGGCUCAACCUGGGAACUGCAUUCGAAACUGGCAGGCUAGAGUCUUGUAGAGGGGGGUAGAAUUCCAGGUGUAGCGGUGAAAUGCGUAGAGAUCUGGAGGAAUACCGGUGGCGAAGGCGGCCCCCUGGACAAAGACUGACGCUCAGGUGCGAAAGCGUGGGGAGCAAACAGGAUUAGAUACCCCAGUAGUC
Molecule: ribosomal RNA, 465 nt
Filed under: uncultured Klebsiella sp.
Lineage: Bacteria; Pseudomonadati; Pseudomonadota; Gammaproteobacteria; Enterobacterales; Enterobacteriaceae
Description: bacterial SSU rRNA
Rfam family: Bacterial small subunit ribosomal RNA
Source: RNAcentral